This 199-nucleotide long non-coding RNA is filed under the name Solanum tuberosum (potato). RNAcentral describes it as "long non-coding RNA (STUB_LNC002729)". The record is from RNAcentral. Lineage: Eukaryota; Viridiplantae; Streptophyta; Magnoliopsida; Solanales; Solanaceae.
AAAAAAUCCUACAACCCAAGAAGAAAAAAAACUAUCCUAAGAAAACACUACAGAACACACAAACACUCUGCAAAGAAAAAAUCAGCAACCAAUUACACAACACAAUACUACAACAACCAACACAUAUACAUGACACACAACAAAAGAAAGGAAGAGAAAAAAAUCAGCAAAAUAUAUACACACAAAACGCCAGAAGGAG